Molecule: ribosomal RNA, 406 nt
Filed under: uncultured bacterium
Lineage: Bacteria
Description: partial 16S ribosomal RNA
Rfam family: Bacterial small subunit ribosomal RNA
Source: RNAcentral
AUUGAACGCUGGCGGCAGGCCUAACACAUGCAAGUCGAACGAGUGGCGGACGGGUGAGUAAUGUAUGGGAAACUGCCUGAUGGCGGGGGAUAACUACUGGAAACGGUAACUAAUACCGAGUACCAUAAGAUGUGCCCAGAUGGGCUUAGCUUGUUGGUGGGGUAACGGCGCACAAAGGCGACGACCCCUAGCUGGUCUGAGAGGAUGACCAGCCACACUGGAACUGAGACCCGGUCCAGACUCCUACGGGAGGCAGCAGUGGGGAAUAUUGCACAAGGGGCGCAAGCCUGAUGCAGCCAUGCCGCGUGUAUGAAGAAGGCCUUCGGGUUGUAAAGUACUUUCAGCGGGGAGGCGUUACCCGCAGAAGAAGCACCGGCUAACUCCGUGCCAGCAGCCGCGGUAAUAC